Molecule: long non-coding RNA, 344 nt
Filed under: Lathyrus oleraceus (garden pea)
Lineage: Eukaryota; Viridiplantae; Streptophyta; Magnoliopsida; Fabales; Fabaceae
Description: Pisum sativum (pea) long non-coding RNA (PSAT_LNC009916)
Source: RNAcentral
GAGAACCGUUGCCGGCAUCCGGAGGAUCUCACCGAACCCGGAGAUUUUCAGAACUUCCGAUUUGGUAAACGAUUCACCUCUAUCUUCCUCCAUGAGUUCCCUUUUUGUAGAUUUUUCGGUUGAGUUUGUUUUCGUAUGAUUUUAUGUCGUGUGGCUCGAAAUUAUGAGAAGGAGAAAGAGGGAAGUGGUUCAUGAAACAAAGUUAGGGAAGAGAGAGAGUGAAGCGACGGAGAAGAGCGGAGGCUCCGCCGUGAGCCGCCGCCUCCGAUCGUCUUCUCCAAGAGAGAAGAAAUUUAGGGUUCGUGAAAGGAGGCGCUCUAUACAGAGCCCUUUCGUUUGAGUUU